Molecule: ribosomal RNA, 372 nt
Filed under: uncultured organism
Description: partial 16S ribosomal RNA
Rfam family: Bacterial small subunit ribosomal RNA
Source: RNAcentral
GGAGGGAGCGAGCGUUGUUCGGAAUCACUGGGCGUAAAGGGCGCGUAGGCGGCCGAGUAAGUCGUGUGUGAAAGACCGGGGCUCAACUCCGUGUACUGCAUGCGAUACUGCCCGGCUAGAGAAAGGUAGAGGCGAGUGGAAUUCCCGGUGUAGCGGUGGAAUGCGUAGAUAUCGGGAAGAACACCUGUGGCGAAGGCGGCUCGCUGGGCCUUUUCUGACGCUGAAGUGCGAAAGCGUGGGGCGCAAACAGGAUUAGAUACCCUGGUAGUCCACGCCGUAAACGAUGGGCACUAGGCGUUGGGAGGAUUGACCCUCUCAGUGCCGUAGCUAACGCGUUAAGUGCCCCCGCCUGGGGAUACGGCCGCAAGGCUG